This 373-nucleotide ribosomal RNA is filed under the name uncultured bacterium. Its description in RNAcentral is "bacterial SSU rRNA". It matches the Rfam family "Bacterial small subunit ribosomal RNA", at positions 523 to 898 of the family's 1533-position model. The record is from RNAcentral.
AUACGGAGGGUGCAAGCGUUAUCCGGAUUCACUGGGUUUAAAGGGUGCGUAGGUGGGCAGUUAAGUCAGUGGUGAAAUCUCCGGGCUUAACCCGGAAACUGCCAUUGAUACUAUCUGUCUUGAAUACUCUGGAGGUAAGCGGAAUAUGUCAUGUAGCGGUGAAAUGCUUAGAUAUGACAUAGAACACCAAUUGCGAAGGCAGCUUACUACGGAGUCAUUGACACUGAGGCACGAAAGCGUGGGGAUCAAACAGGAUUAGAUACCCUGGUAGUCCACGCCCUAAACGAUGGAUACUCGACAUUUGCGAUACACAGUAAGUGUCUGAGCGAAAGCAUUAAGUAUCCCACCUGGGAAGUACGACCGCAAGGUUGAA